ACGGCAGCACGGGCGGGGGUAACCUCGCCUGGUGGCGAGUGGCGAACGGGUGAGUAAUAUAUCGGAACGUACCCUGGAGUGGGGGAUAACGUAGCGAAAGUUACGCUAAUACCGCAUACGAUCUACGGAUGAAAGUGGGGGAUUCGCAAGAACCUCAUGCUCGUGGAGCGGCCGAUAUCUGAUUAGCUAGUUGGUAGGGUAAAAGCCUACCAAGGCAUCGAUCAGUAGCUGGUCUGAGAGGACGACCAGCCACACUGGAACUGAGACACGGUCCAGACUCCUACGGGAGGCAGCAGUGGGGAAUUUUGGACAAUGGGCGCAAGCCUGAUCCAGCAAUGCCGCGUGAGUGAAGAAGGCCUUCGGGUUGUAAAGCUCUUUUGUCAGGGAAGAAACGGUGUUUUCUAAUACAGAAUGCUAAUGACGGUACCUGAAGAAUAAGCACCGGCUAACUACGUGCCAGCAGCCGCGGUAAU
RNAcentral lists this ribosomal RNA (473 nucleotides) under uncultured bacterium. RNAcentral's name for it is "bacterial SSU rRNA". It matches the Rfam family "Bacterial small subunit ribosomal RNA", at positions 66 to 524 of the family's 1533-position model. The record is from RNAcentral.